GAUUUAAAAGAGAUAAAGUCGCAGAUGAUCUCUCACUCUUGACUUGAAGAAGUCCGCACGUCAGACUGACUGUUGAAGCCAAGUAGUCCUCUGGUUGAGUCCCUCAGACGCAGUUGCGCACCGUGCGCGCCCACGGUCUAUGCGCGUGCCGUGCGAACCACCGAUCCUGCACUUCCUGGGCCAGACUGAUUUUGAUCGCUUAACUAAUCGUCAGGGGUCAUGAGGCCUAAGUCAGCUUCAGUCAUGGCUGUUCUUUCUGUGAAGAGAACCACGGGGCGCUCUUUUUGGAUUUCGGUGUUUCUCCUGCUUAUCUUCACUCAGAUGUUAACCUCCCUGGUGCUCUAUUCUGGUGUGUUCAUUCUCUCCAACGAAGCCCUCAUCAGCCCCUUUAGCUUUUGUCUAAAACAUGGUCAACAUGGUGAACCCUCCUGCAACAGGUGGUACAGGAGCCCUGUCAACGGAGCUGAAUCCAAGAUAAAAAUUUACUUCCUCACAACAGUGGUUACUCUGGGUUUGUACAUUCCAGUGGUGCUUGUGGCCUUUGCCCUGCUGGCCAUGCUGUUAGCAGCUUACGCCAAAGACAGAGCAGCCCUCUGGUUUAGCAUGGCCUGCCAGACUGCAUCAAGCCUACUCAUCCUGACUGGCAUUGUUAGUUUUUUGCUACUCAAUCAGUCGUAUGCGAGCUGGCAACACAUGACCCUCUGGUUCUAUAUCUGUGUGGCUGUGCAGGUUGAGCUGGUUAUCGUAACUGCACUGACCCAUGUUACGGGAAGGAGGCUAACCUCUGACUGGAAAUAGAUGGGUCCAAAUAAAAACACAUCCUCGCCUUUUUAACGGAAGGGACGUUUGAUUGGUGAGCUUCAGGACAGUGGUUGAUUAAAGUUUAUAAUCAAAUUUCAAAUGUAUUUUUUUGUUACAUGUUCUUUAUGUUUUCACUAAACAGUGGUCAAAUCUUUGGUUUGAGGCAAAUGCUGACGAGGCCUAAUGACAGAUUUUCUGAUAAACUGUACCCAUUAUUUGUUAAAUCAACUGGAACAUACUGUGAUUGCUUUUGCAUGACGUAACAGUGUUUUUGAAUUGUAGACCAACUGGUUUGAGAAGCUGACAUCAGUGUGUAAAUAAAAAAACAGGAAUAGCUGGUGUAUAGGUGCUAAAGACAAUGACACUGUGUAAAAAGGUGGUAGACCAAUAGCGUUAAUGCUGACACUUGCUUUUUUGAUACUGCUUGUUCAAGAAAAACAGCUACUUCCUCAUUUAUUAAAGUGGGGGGAAAAUACAAUAUCUAUAGUGGACAUACAUUCAGAAUUAAACAUAAGAGUAUGCUCUGUCAUCUUAAAUCUGUGGUGUCAUCAAGAGAAAACCUGGAGCAGCUUCGCUGACUGAUUCCUCUAAGGACAUUAUGAUUAAAGAGGCCACAGGUACAGUUACACUAUAGUGCUCAGUAAAUCAGAAGAAACUCUGUGUCGAAUGUUCAGUCCUCUGCUCGUGGAAACGUGGGCUUUCCUACACAUGGGCUUGAAUUUAAGGUCUUCUGUACAGUAGGGUUGGUGGCUAGUCUACAGGGCAUUUCAAGUGUGGUGAUGUACUGUAACAUGAGCAUCAGUUUCAGAUUUCAGCUCUGUUACUUACAUCAAAAGGGUUUUGGAUAAACUUUCAGGAAAAUUCCAUCUAAACUUUACAAAAUACCAUGUUAUCUGUGUUUUGGGGAAUUCCCAUUAAUUUGUGGUAAUUCAGUGUAACAGGACAGUGGAAAGUAAAAGAUGCAGCAGCUCCAUUAACAUUGAAUGGACCUCAGACGGAAACUGCACUGUAAGAUUGGGUUUUAGAUCAUAGAUCAGCGGUCAUUAAAGGCAUAUACUGGCAUUUA
This is a long non-coding RNA of Micropterus dolomieu (smallmouth bass), 1867 nucleotides long. RefSeq lists it as uncharacterized. The record is from RefSeq and is a predicted model, not a curated record. The transcript has 2 exons. Lineage: Eukaryota; Metazoa; Chordata; Actinopteri; Centrarchiformes; Centrarchidae.